Molecule: long non-coding RNA, 583 nt
Filed under: Rattus norvegicus (Norway rat)
Lineage: Eukaryota; Metazoa; Chordata; Mammalia; Rodentia; Muridae
Description: long non-coding RNA NONRATT012134
Source: RNAcentral
AUUAUCUUGAAAAUGUGUCACGCCCUAUGACUUUUUUGGUUUUGGUUUUAAUCUUACCACUGUGCAUGUGUAUAUGCGUGCGCCGUGGCGUGCAUGCGUGUGGAGUCAACUCCCCCUCCACCUUGUCCUGGGUCCCGGAAGUUAUAUUCAGGCCUAUGCCGCAAACGCCUUUUCCCAUCUAGCAGUUGCAGCGGCCCACAUCUGGGCUUCGCCUGGGGGACCUUGUUCUGAAUGGCCAUCUCGCCAGCAGGUGACCUUGACUACAGCACGGUGCUGCUCGGCAUGCUGGUGAUGCAAGACGUGCAGCUGGGUCUGUUCAUUGCCGUCAUGCCGACUCUCAUCCAGGCCUCAGCAAGCACCUCUUCCAGGUGAGCCCCUGGCCUGAGGCAACUCAGAGGCUUAAACGAGUCAGUAGGCAUCCGUGUCGUGGAUGCUCUGGAGAAUGGUGAUGCUUGUGUGCCUUUGCACACGCGUGUUGUGACGUGUGAUGACGUGUGGAGGCUCUGGUGCAUGUCACUGCCAUCAGCACUGCUCUAUUCUCUCAUCCUUCCUUUCAAUCUUCCCCAAACCCUGAUCCAUACGC